Molecule: ribosomal RNA, 254 nt
Filed under: uncultured bacterium
Lineage: Bacteria
Description: partial 16S ribosomal RNA
Rfam family: Bacterial small subunit ribosomal RNA
Source: RNAcentral
UACGGGGGGAGCAAGCGUUGUUCGGAUUUACUGGGCGUAAAGGGCGCGUAGGCGGUCAGCACAAGUCAGUUGUGAAAUCUCCGGGCUUAACUCGGAAAGGUCAACUGAUACUGUGCGACUAGAGUGCGGAAGGGGCAACUGGAAUUCUCGGUGUAGCGGUGAAAUGCGCAGAUAUCAGGAAGAACACCCGUGGCGAAAGCGGCUCUCUGGAACGGUACUGACGCUGAGACGCGAAAGCGUGGGGAGCGAACAGG